This 253-nucleotide ribosomal RNA is filed under the name uncultured bacterium. RNAcentral describes it as "partial 16S ribosomal RNA". It matches the Rfam family "Bacterial small subunit ribosomal RNA", at positions 524 to 776 of the family's 1533-position model. The record is from RNAcentral.
UACAGAGGCCCCGAGCGUUGUUCGGAAUCAUUGGGCGUAAAGCGUUUGUAGGUGGUUCGCUAAGUUGGAUGUGAAAGCCCAGGGCUUAACUCUGGACGUGCAUUCAAAACUGGCGAUCUUGAGUGCUGGAGAGGAAAGCGGAAUUCCCGGUGUAGUGGUGAAAUACGUAGAGAUCGGGAGGAACACCAGUGGCGAAAGCGGCUUUCUGGACAGACACUGACACUGAGAAACGAAAGCGUGGGGAGCAAACAGG